CGCAUGCUGGACGUAUCAGAAGUGCGAAUGCUGACAUGAGUAACGAUAAAGGGGGUGAAAAACCUCCUCGCCGGAAGACCAAGGGUUCCUGUCCAACGUUAAUCGGGGCAGGGUAAGUCGACCCCUAAGGCGAGGCCGAAAGGCGUAGUCGAUGGGAAACGGGUUAAUAUUCCCGUACUUCUUACAAUUGCGAUGGGGGGACGGAGAAGGCUAGGUGGGCCUGGCGACGGUUGUCCAGGUUCAAGUGCGUAGGC
RNAcentral lists this ribosomal RNA (254 nucleotides) under Vibrio parahaemolyticus. RNAcentral's name for it is "partial 23S ribosomal RNA". It matches the Rfam family "Bacterial large subunit ribosomal RNA", at positions 1267 to 1525 of the family's 2925-position model. Lineage: Bacteria; Pseudomonadati; Pseudomonadota; Gammaproteobacteria; Vibrionales; Vibrionaceae. The record is from RNAcentral.